This 1587-nucleotide ribosomal RNA is filed under the name Triticum aestivum (bread wheat). RNAcentral describes it as "partial small subunit ribosomal RNA". The record is from RNAcentral. Lineage: Eukaryota; Viridiplantae; Streptophyta; Magnoliopsida; Poales; Poaceae.
AUGAGUCCGGUCAAGCUGGUGGGACGCAAUGCCGGAAAAGUUGCCUUGGAUGAAGGUGACCAACGGAAAUUGAACUUAACUGUGCGAUGUUCGUUGGGAGAGGUUGAAGCUUGUGCUAAAUUGCUUGAGAGUCGGGUGAAGUCUAACAUUUCCCGCCCUCUAAUGGGAGUUUUGUACCUGAGGAUAGAUGCUGAUACGAUGACUCUUGACAUGGGUGAGGCUAAUAAGAAGCUUCGCAUCACUAGCGAUGGUAUACAACAAUUAUUUGGGUUCCCUCGUGGUGGUCGUUCUCCGCCAAGGCCGUCAGAGGAUGGAUAUGACGACGCUUUGAUGAAGUUAAGAUCGGAGCUGGACAUUAGCAGGAACAUAGAUAUCAAGACAAAGGAUUUGAGGAAUAAGCUCAAGGUGCUCGUCAAGGAUCCUAGCAAAGAUGACCUUGCUCUGAAAGUGUUCUUCAUUAUUGUGUUUAUGAAGGUUGUGUUGCCUUGUUCCGCCCCGCGUGUUUCCAGAGAGGCAGCAAUGUUUGAGGGUCUCGUCUUUGAGGACAUGGCUAAUAUGGAUUAUUGUCAGCUGAUGGUUGAUGAGCUUAGAAGGGCUGUUGUCAGGAACCAAGAUGGUGUUACCCUUGGGAAGGCAAUCACAGGCUGUGCUAUAGGGCCUGUACUAAUGUACCUUGACUGCCUUAUCCGUGGCAAGACUGCGGAGCCUGACAUGCGAGUCCCCCGCAUAUGUUUCAUGGAUCAUGUCAAGCUUUAUGAUCUGGUUGAUGCAGAUUUGAUAAAAAAGGCAAUGCAGAUCCAAAGACUUGGGUGUUUGGGAAGCUUUCGCCCUGCUAGUACUUCACAGAGGCAGGGUUUUGGUAUUGAUGUUGCUAUUUCUGCGUUGGAGCGUGCUGAGCAUAUUUUAAGUAAUGUGUGUUCUGAGCUGCAAAAGGUCCCAACGACAGUUGAGCGUCUGAGCUGUAUCAAUGGUAUCCUUCCUGAAGGUCAUCAAUUUAACGCUGAGGAAGCAGUGGACUAUAUUGAGAUGGAGAGAAUUUUUAUUGGUGAAAUGCGUGACGGUGCUGCUGAUCUAGUUCCGAGCUCGGUUCGUCUGUUGAACAACAUGAAGCGUUUCAAAACUAUGCAAGACUCUCGCUGCAAGCCAUAUGAAGAAAGUGCAAAAGUUGUUAUCAGGCAGAUUGAGCAGGAUGAGGCUGCUGCCACCGACAGCAGGGCUGGUGAUGGUACUGAGGCUAAUGUUCCUGAUCAUGAAACGAAUGAUGUUGGCUUGGAGCGCGCUGUUGUUGAUCAGGAUGAGGCUGCUGCCACCGGCAGCAGGGCUGAUGAUGGUACUGAGGAUAUUGUUUCUGAUCACCAUAUGAACGAUGUUGGCUUGGAGCACCCUGUUGUUGAUGAGACCAGUCAUAAUGUUGAGGCUGCUGUUGACCAUGGAGUUAAUGAUCCAUCUACUGAUAAGUGCAAGGGUCCUGUUGUUGGCGACGAGCCUUGUUCGCCCGUUGGUGAUGUUGCUUUGAAUGUUAGCAACAGCAAGAUCGAUGAUGUUUCUGUGAAUGCUUCUAAGAUGAUGCUCAUGGUGUUCCAUUGA